UCACGUUGCGGUCACGCAACUGUUAUUCUUCCACAAAAAGGUGAGCGAAUCAAUUAAAGCAACUUCUUACGUAAAUAGUUCCAACUUUAGUCAUAACAAAAUUAGUUUGUGUGCAAUAUUAAGUAUAAAUUGCGACGUUCACCGAGUAGCUUGAGCUUCUUCUCGUUUCAAGAAAAUGGCACUCAAAUUAUUCCAUAUUGUAAUUUUUACAAUACUGAUUUUUUUUCUAAUUUUGCAGCCUGCUGAAGCGGAAAAUUUUUUUAAAAAAGCUGUUAGAAAAAUUGGCGACUGGUUCAAGGGGGUAUACAAAGAUGCUAAACACUAUUUUGGAUAACAAACCAAGUUGCACGAAGCCGAAAUGGAAUGUGAACCCAUAGAUAUAUCAAAUAAGCUAUGUGUAUUCACAAUGGUGUAAUAAGUUGUUUUAUUCAUUUGGUUUUAAAAAAUUCAGUGGAAUUGUGGUAAAAGUAUUUAUAAUUGGAAUAAAAACGUCCCUGAAAGAACAGCAUUAAA
Molecule: long non-coding RNA, 513 nt
Organism: Anastrepha ludens (Mexican fruit fly)
Lineage: Eukaryota; Metazoa; Arthropoda; Insecta; Diptera; Tephritidae
Exons: 2
Source: RefSeq, a predicted model, not a curated record